CCUACGGGAGGCAGCAGUAAGGGAAUAUUGGUCAAUGGAGGAAACUCUGAACCAGCCAUGCCGCGUGCAGGAUGACUGCCCUAUGGGUUGUAAACUGCUUUUAUACGGGAAGAAACCCCGCUACGUGUAGCGGGUUGACGGUACUGUAAGAAUAAGGACCGGCUAACUUCGUGCCAGCAGCCGCGGUAAUACGAAGGGUCCAAGCGUUAUCCGGAUUUAUUGGGUUUAAAGGGUGCGUAGGCGGCUUUUUAAGUCAGUGGUGAAAGCCUGAUGCUCAACAUCAGAACUGCCAUUGAUACUGAAGAGCUUGAGUACAGUUGAGGUUGGCGGAAUGUGUCAUGUAGCGGUGAAAUGCUUAGAUAUGACACAGAACACCGAUUGCGAAGGCAGUCUAGCUAAGCUGUAACUGACGCUGAUGCACGAAGCGUGGGGAGCAAACAGGAUUAGAUACCCUGGUAGUCCACGCCCUAAACGUUNAUACUCGCUGUUGCNUAUACUGCACGCGCCGACGACGAACGACAUUAAGUUAUACCACCACGGAGGUACGGUCGCGAGAGUAGUAACGUUAAGUAGAGUUAGACGACGNGAGAGNGCGAGGACGACGACGAGGGAGAGG
RNAcentral lists this ribosomal RNA (616 nucleotides) under uncultured bacterium. Its description in RNAcentral is "bacterial SSU rRNA". The stretch from base 1 to 536 matches the Rfam family "Bacterial small subunit ribosomal RNA", at positions 338 to 873 of the family's 1533-position model. The record is from RNAcentral.